Ailuropoda melanoleuca (giant panda) is the source of this 414-nucleotide long non-coding RNA. RefSeq lists it as uncharacterized. NCBI's taxonomy places the organism in Eukaryota, Metazoa, Chordata, Mammalia, Carnivora, Ursidae. The transcript is spliced from 2 exons. The record is from RefSeq and is a predicted model, not a curated record.
AACUGUUUCUCAGCCAGAACAAUUGGGCCCUUACCCCGGCUGCCACCCACAAGUGUAGGGUGAUGGUCAACUUACUUGACCUCUCUUGCAUUGUCUGAAGAUGGGAAGAAAUGAUAUGCCCACCUCAUGGGGAGGUGUUGCUGGAGAGGACAUGACCUCCGGUUGACCCAUAGCUGGACCCAGGCAAUUGGAGGCUCCUCACCCACCUCCCCUGUCCUUGGAAGGGGCUGCCUUCAGAUUACAUCAGGAUGAUGCAGAGGAAGUUGCCAACCAAGGGGGGUGACCACACAUCUCCGUUUUCUCAGAAGAAUCAUGCUUUAUGCUGCUCUCCUGGCACGCCAUCCAUUUUGUGAUCUCCUUCACGCUCUAAAGUACCCUCUUUGGGCCAAUAAAUGUCAUCACCUUCCUUCGCCU